Molecule: ribosomal RNA, 440 nt
Filed under: uncultured bacterium
Lineage: Bacteria
Description: partial 16S ribosomal RNA
Rfam family: Bacterial small subunit ribosomal RNA
Source: RNAcentral
CCUACGGGAGGCAGCAGUGGGGAAUAUUGGACAAUGGGGGGAACCCUGAUCCAGCGACGCCGCGUGAGUGAAGAAGUAUCUCGGUAUGUAAAGCUCUAUCAGCAGGGAAGAAAAUGACGGUACCUGACUAAGAAGCUCCGGCUAACUACGUGACAGCAGCCGCGGUAAUACGGAGGGGGCCAGCGUUAUCCGGAUUUACUGGGUGUAAAGGGAGCGUAGACGGUGCAGCAAGUCCGGUGUGAAAGGUCGGGGCCCAACCCCGGGACUGCAGUGGAAACCGUUGGACUGGAGUACAGUAGAGGUAGGCGGAAUUCGUGGUGUAGCGGUGAAAUGCGUAGAUAUUAGGAGGAACACCAGUGGCGAAGGCGGCUUACUGGACUGUAACUGACGUUGAGGCUCGAAAGCGUGGGGAGCAAACAGGAUUAGAUACCCGGGUAGUC